This 107-nucleotide small nuclear RNA is filed under the name Castor canadensis (American beaver). Lineage: Eukaryota; Metazoa; Chordata; Mammalia; Rodentia; Castoridae. The record is from RNAcentral.
GUGCUGAUUUCAGCAGCACAUGAACUAAAAUUGGAACAAUACAAAGGAGAUUGGCAUGGCCCCUGCACGAGGAUGGCAUGCAAAUUCAUGAAGUGGUCCAUAUUUUU